ACCUGGGUGGCUUAGUCGGUUAAGCGUCUGACUUCAGCUCAGGUCAUGAUCUCACAGUUUGUGGGUUAGAGCCCCACAUUGGGCU
RNAcentral lists this transfer RNA (85 nucleotides) under Felis catus (domestic cat). It matches the Rfam family "tRNA". Rfam says of the family: Transfer RNA (tRNA) molecules are approximately 80 nucleotides in length. Their secondary structure includes four short double-helical elements and three loops (D, anti-codon, and T loops). Lineage: Eukaryota; Metazoa; Chordata; Mammalia; Carnivora; Felidae. RNAcentral also lists the same sequence under 2 other names. The record is from Rfam by way of RNAcentral.